AGCUGGCAAAAGGUUGAAUAACAAACACAUGUAUAUAUUUAUCAUUAACAUGUACCAUGUAUUACAUUAUAAUGUAUUGUGUAUAAACAUGUAUCACAGAAUCUGUAAAAAUGUCUUAUAAAAGGAAACACGAAACAUAAAUUGCAAUUGAUUUGAAUUAAAGGGGCAUCCGCCACGAGUUAUACAAAUAUUGAAUCAUGAUUGUUUUUCUUGUUGAAUAUUAAUGAAAGUUAAAUAGUAAAAUACUCGUUCCCUUGAAAGCUAGUCUGGUUCAAUCACGUCGAAAUAAGGUAAGAAACAUCGCUGACGGAAUAUUCACUUGCAAGUGCAUAAUAUGGCCUAAUUGGCACCAAUAUUCCUGUGACUUCAAUUUAAACGUUCACCUAAAGAUUGGUUACGCAUAAAAUAUUAAAGGAACCCAAUGUCAGCACUGAAAGUUAAAAAGAUAAACCAUAUGGUUAACUGAUUCGAUCAUUAAAAACUCAUUCUUAUACAGCUAAAGUGAUAACUGUUAAAGAUUUUUUUAUCAUAUGACAUGCAAGCAAACAGACCUAUACAAUUGUAUUGUACGUGUUCGAUAUAUAUAUUGGUAUACAUAUAAAUGUUUCUAUCGAAUUAUACGACAGUCGCCAGUCUCCGGAGGUCAUAUCAAUGGUAAACUACAUUGCGUCUAGGCUAAAAUUCACAAGAUAUUCUGAUAUAUUUUAUCUUGCUGCAUGUAAUAUCAAAGCGUUAAGUUCUAAACUUCAAAUAAAAUUCAUUCCAGACCGUUUUGCAAUAAAUUUAUUUUAAGGAGACCUCGUCCUACACAAAACAAUAGAAUUUUUUGCAGAUCAUAACAAGUCCAUUUCAAAAAUAUCACGAAGAUAAUACGUGUAAAGUUCAUACCUUUUAAAUCGUUGAAAAAGUUCACAAGGGUCACAAAUUCAACUGAAAUCACUUCACAUCUCCCCAUUCCUAAACUGAACUUUACAUUAGGGU
This 981-nucleotide long non-coding RNA is filed under the name Mytilus galloprovincialis (Mediterranean mussel). Lineage: Eukaryota; Metazoa; Mollusca; Bivalvia; Mytilida; Mytilidae. The record is from RNAcentral.